AUUGAACGCUGGCGGCAGGCCUAGCACAUGCAAGUCGAGCGGAUGAAGGGAGCUUGCUCCUGGAUUCAGCGGCGGACGGGUGAGUAAUGCCUAGGAAUCUGCCUGGUAGUGGGGGAUAACGUCCGGAAACGGGCGCUAAUACCGCAUACGUCCUGAGGGAGAAAGUGGGGGAUCUUCGGACCUCACGCUAUCAGAUGAGCCUAGGUCGGAUUAGCUAGUUGGUGGGGUAAAGGCCUACCAAGGCGACGAUCCGUAACUGGUCUGAGAGGAUGAUCAGUCACACUGGAACUGAGACACGGUCCAGACUCCUACGGGAGGCAGCAGUGGGGAAUAUUGGACAAUGGGCGAAAGCCUGAUCCAGCCAUGCCGCGUGUGUGAAGUAGGUCUUCGGAUUGUAAAGCACUUUAAGUUGGGAGGAAGGGCAGUAAGUUAAUACCUUGCUGUUUUGACGUUACCAACAGAAUAAGCACCGGCUAACUUCGUG
Molecule: ribosomal RNA, 484 nt
Filed under: uncultured bacterium
Lineage: Bacteria
Description: partial 16S ribosomal RNA
Rfam family: Bacterial small subunit ribosomal RNA
Source: RNAcentral